AGUGAACGCUGGCGGUAGGCCUAACACAUGCAAGUCGAACGGCAGCACAGUAAGAGCUUGCUCUUACGGGUGGCGAGUGGCGGACGGGUGAGGAAUACAUCGGAAUCUACUUUUUCGUGGGGGAUAACGUAGGGAAACUUACGCUAAUACCGCAUACGACCUACGGGUGAAAGCAGGGGAUCUUCGGACCUUGCGCGAUUGAAUGAGCCGAUGUCGGAUUAGCUAGUUGGCGGGGUAAAGGCCCACCAAGGCGACGAUCCGUAGCUGGUCUGAGAGGAUGAUCAGCCACACUGGAACUGAGACACGGUCCAGACUCCUACGGGAGGCAGCAGUGGGGAAUAUUGGGCAAUGGGCGCAAGCCUGGUCCAGCCAUACCGCGUGGGUGAAGAAGGCCUUCGGGUUGUAAAGCCCUUUUGUUGGGAAAGAAAAGCAGCAGGUUAAUACCCCGCUGUUCUGACGGUACCCAAAGAAUAAGCACCGGCUAACUUCGUG
This 492-nucleotide ribosomal RNA is filed under the name uncultured bacterium. Its description in RNAcentral is "partial 16S ribosomal RNA". It matches the Rfam family "Bacterial small subunit ribosomal RNA", at positions 29 to 507 of the family's 1533-position model. The record is from RNAcentral.